ACUAAGCAUAUCAAUAAGCGGAGGAAAAGAAAUCAACAGAGAUUGCCUCAGUAACGGCGAGUGAAGCGGCAACAGCUCAAAUUUGAAAUCUGGCCCUUUCAGGGUCCGAGUUGUAAUUUGCAGAGGGUGCUUUGGCAUCGGUUGCAGCCUAAGUUCCUUGGAACAGGACGUCGCAGAGGGUGAGAAUCCCGUAUGUGGCCGCCAGCCUUUGCCGUGUAAAGCCCCUUCGACGAGUCGAGUUGUUUGGGAAUGCAGCUCUAAAUGGGAGGUAAAUUUCUCCUAAAGCUAAAUACCGGCCAGAGACCGAUAGCGCACAAGUAGAGUGAUCGAAAGAUGAAAAGCACUUUGGAAAGAGAGUCAAAAAGCACGUGAAAUUGUUGAAAGGGAAGCGCUUGCAGCCAGACGUGCCUGCGGUUGUUCAUCCGGGCUUCUGCCCGGUGCACUCUUCCGCAUGCAGGCCAGCAUCAGUUUCGGCGGCCCGAUAAAUACCUGCUAAACGUACCUCCCCCGGGAGGACUUAUAGGGUAGGUGGCAUAUGGUCGCGCGGGACUGAGGUCAGCGCUUCGGCGAGGAUGCUGGCGUAAUGGUGGCAAGCGGCCCGUCUUGAAACACGGACCAAGGAGUCUAACAUCUAUGCGAGUGUUUGGGUGUCAAGCCCGAGCGCGCAAUGAAAGUGAACGGAGGUGAGAUCCCUUGCGGGUGCAUCAUCGACCGAUCCUGAUGUCUUCGGAUGGAUUUGAGUAAGAGCAUAGCUGUUGGGACCCGAAAGAUGGUGAACUAAGCUUGAAUAGGGUGAAGCCAGAGGAAACUCUGGUGGAGGCUCGCAGCGGUUCUGACGUGCAAAUCGAUCGUCAAA
This 856-nucleotide ribosomal RNA is filed under the name Pleopunctum clematidis. RNAcentral's name for it is "partial large subunit ribosomal RNA". It matches the Rfam family "Eukaryotic large subunit ribosomal RNA", at positions 33 to 909 of the family's 3401-position model. Lineage: Eukaryota; Fungi; Ascomycota; Dothideomycetes; Pleosporales; Phaeoseptaceae. The record is from RNAcentral.